GGGUUGUGAGGUUAAGCGACUAAGCGUACACGGUGGAUGCCCUGGCAGUCAGAGGCGAUGAAGGGCGUGCUAAUCUGCGAUAAGCGCCGGUAAGGUGAUAUGAACCGUUAUAACCGGCGAUACCCGAAUGGGGAAACCCAGUGUGAUUCGUCACACUAUCAUUAACUGAAUCCAUAGGUUAAUGAGGCGAACCGGGGGAACUGAAACAUCUAAGUACCCCGAGGAAAAGAAAUCAACCGAGAUUCCCCCAGUAGCGGCGAGCGAACGGGGAGGAGCCCAGAGCCUGAAUCAGCAUGUGUGUUAGUGGAAGCGUCUGGAAAGGCGCGCGAUACAGGGUGACAGCCCCGUACACAAAAGCGCAUGUGCUGUGAGCUCGAUGAGUAGGGCGGGACACGUGGUAUCCUGUCUGAAUAUGGGGGGACCAUCCUCCAAGGCUAAAUACUCCUGACUGACCGAUAGUGAACCAGUACCGUGAGGGAAAGGCGAAAAGAACCCCGGCGAGGGGAGUGAAAAAGAACCUGAAACCGUGUACGUACAAGCAGUGGGAGCCCCACCACCAAAGCAUUCUCUGGUGUUGAAGGCCCUGCAAAGCAGCAUCGCGGUGGCGGAGCGUCGUUUGCGACGCCCAACACACAAAACAAGCGGUGAAUGCUUUGGGGUGGGGUGACUGCGUACCUUUUGUAUAAUGGGUCAGCGACUUAUAUUCUGUAGCAAGGUUAACCGAAUAGGGGAGCCGGAGGGAAACCGAGUCUUAAUUGGGCGUUAAGUUGCAGGGUAUAGACCCGAAACCCGGUGAUCUAGCCAUGGGCAGGUUGAAGGUUGGGUAACACUAACUGGAGGACCGAACCGACUAAUGUUGAAAAAUUAGCGGAUGACCUGUGGCUGGGGGUGAAAGGCCAAUCAAACCGGGAGAUAGCUGGUUCUCCCCGAAAGCUAUUUAGGUAGCGCCUCGUGAAUUCAUCUCCGGGGGUAGAGCACUGUUUCGGCUAGGGGGCCAUCCCGGCUUACCAACCCGAUGCAAACUGCGAAUACCGGAGAAUGUUAUCACGGGAGACACACGGCGGGUGCUAACGUCCGUCGUGAAGAGGGAAACAACCCAGACCGCCAGCUAAGGUCCCAAAGUCAUGGUUAAGUGGGAAACGAUGUGGGAAGGCCCAGACAGCCAGGAUGUUGGCUUAGAAGCAGCCAUCAUUUAAAGAAAGCGUAAUAGCUCACUGGUCGAGUCGGCCUGCGCGGAAGAUGUAACGGGGCUAAACCAUGCACCGAAGCUGCGGCAGCGAACGUAUCACUUAAAGCGAUUCAGCGGGUUACGAUUGACGGAGCGAAGCGACGUCAAAGCGUAUACAAAGUCGAGUCGGUUUAAGGAUACGUUCGUUGGGUAGGGGAGCGUUCUGUAAGCCCGUGAAGGUGGCCUGUGAGGGUUGCUGGAGGUAUCAGAAGUGCGAAUGCUGACAUAAGUAACGAUAAAGCGGGUGAAAAGCCCGCUCGCCGGAAGACCAAGGGUUCCUGUCCAACGUUAAUCGGGGCAGGGUGAGUCGACCCCUAAGGCGAGGCCGAAAGGCGUAGUCGAUGGGAAACGGGUUAAUAUUCCCGUACUUGGUGUUACUGCGAAGGGGGGACGGAGAAGGCUAUGUUGGCCGGGCGACGGUUGUCCCGGUUUAAGCGUGUAGGUGUGUGUUCCAGGUAAAUCCGGUUCACUUUAACACUGAGGCGUGACGACGAGGCACUACGGUGCUGAAGCAACAAAUGCCCUGCUUCCAGGAAAAGCCUCUAAGCAUCAGGUAACACGAAAUCGUACCCCAAACCGACACAGGUGGUCAGGUAGAGAAUACCAAGGCGCUUGAGAGAACUCGGGUGAAGGAACUAGGCAAAAUGGUGCCGUAACUUCGGGAGAAGGCACGCUGACACGUAGGUGAAGUGAUUUACUCAUGGAGCUGAAGUCAGUCGAAGAUACCAGCUGGCUGCAACUGUUUAUUAAAAACACAGCACUGUGCAAACACGAAAGUGGACGUAUACGGUGUGACGCCUGCCCGGUGCCGGAAGGUUAAUUGAUGGGGUCAGCGCAAGCGAAGCUCCUGAUCGAAGCCCCGGUAAACGGCGGCCGUAACUAUAACGGUCCUAAGGUAGCGAAAUUCCUUGUCGGGUAAGUUCCGACCUGCACGAAUGGCGUAAUGAUGGCCAGGCUGUCUCCACCCGAGACUCAGUGAAAUUGAACUCGCUGUGAAGAUGCAGUGUACCCGCGGCAAGACGGAAAGACCCCGUGAACCUUUACUAUAGCUUGACACUGAACAUUGAGCCUUGAUGUGUAGGAUAGGUGGGAGGCUUUGAAGUGUGGACGCCAGUCUGCAUGGAGCCGACCUUGAAAUACCACCCUUUAAUGUUUGAUGUUCUAACGUGGACCCGUAAUCCGGGUUGCGGACAGUGUCUGGUGGGUAGUUUGACUGGGGCGGUCUCCUCCUAAAGAGUAACGGAGGAGCACGAAGGUUGGCUAAUCCUGGUCGGACAUCAGGAGGUUAGUGCAAUGGCAUAAGCCAGCUUGACUGCGAGCGUGACGGCGCGAGCAGGUGCGAAAGCAGGUCAUAGUGAUCCGGUGGUUCUGAAUGGAAGGGCCAUCGCUCAACGGAUAAAAGGUACUCCGGGGAUAACAGGCUGAUACCGCCCAAGAGUUCAUAUCGACGGCGGUGUUUGGCACCUCGAUGUCGGCUCAUCACAUCCUGGGGCUGAAGUAGGUCCCAAGGGUAUGGCUGUUCGCCAUUUAAAGUGGUACGCGAGCUGGGUUUAGAACGUCGUGAGACAGUUCGGUCCCUAUCUGCCGUGGGCGCUGGAGAACUGAGGGGGGCUGCUCCUAGUACGAGAGGACCGGAGUGGACGCAUCACUGGUGUUCGGGUUGUCAUGCCAAUGGCACUGCCCGGUAGCUAAAUGCGGAAGAGAUAAGUGCUGAAAGCAUCUAAGCACGAAACUUGCCCCGAGAUGAGUUCUCCCUGAGACUUAGAGUCUCCUGAAGGAACGUUGAAGACGACGACGUUGAUAGGCCGGGUGUGUAAGCGCAGCGAUGCGUUGAGCUAACCGGUACUAAUGAACCGUGAGGCUUAACCUUACAACGCCGAAG
RNAcentral lists this ribosomal RNA (3110 nucleotides) under Salmonella enterica. RNAcentral describes it as "23S ribosomal RNA". It matches the Rfam family "Bacterial large subunit ribosomal RNA". Lineage: Bacteria; Pseudomonadati; Pseudomonadota; Gammaproteobacteria; Enterobacterales; Enterobacteriaceae. RNAcentral also lists the same sequence under 2 other names. The record is from RNAcentral.